Molecule: ribosomal RNA, 1442 nt
Filed under: uncultured organism
Description: SSU rRNA
Rfam family: Bacterial small subunit ribosomal RNA
Source: RNAcentral
CUCAGGAUGAACGCUAGCUACAGGCUUAACACAUGCAAGUCGAGGGGCAGCAUGGUCUUAGCUUGCUAAGGCCGAUGGCGACCGGCGCACGGGUGAGUAACACGUAUCCAACCUGCCGUCUACUCUUGGACAGCCUUCUGAAAGGAAGAUUAAUACAAGAUGGCAUCAUGAGUCCGCAUGUUCACAUGAUUAAAGGUAUUCCGGUAGACGAUGGGGAUGCGUUCCAUUAGAUAGUAGGCGGGGUAACGGCCCACCUAGUCUUCGAUGGAUAGGGGUUCUGAGAGGAAGGUCCCCCACAUUGGAACUGAGACACGGUCCAAACUCCUACGGGAGGCAGCAGUGAGGAAUAUUGGUCAAUGGGCGAGAGCCUGAACCAGCCAAGUAGCGUGAAGGAUGACUGCCCUAUGGGUUGUAAACUUCUUUUAUAAAGGAAUAAAGUCGGGUAUGGAUACCCGUUUGCAUGUACUUUAUGAAUAAGGAUCGGCUAACUCCGUGCCAGCAGCCGCGGUAAUACGGAGGAUCCGAGCGUUAUCCGGAUUUAUUGGGUUUAAAGGGAGCGUAGAUGGAUGUUUAAGUCAGUUGUGAAAGUUUGCGGCUCAACCGUAAAAUUGCAGUUGAUACUGGAUAUCUUGAGUGCAGUUGAGGCAGGCGGAAUUCGUGGUGUAGCGGUGAAAUGCUUAGAUAUCACGAAGAACUCCGAUUGCGAAGGCAGCCUGCUAAGCUGCAACUGACAUUGAGGCUCGAAAGUGUGGGUAUCAAACAGGAUUAGAUACCCUGGUAGUCCACACGGUAAACGAUGAAUACUCGCUGUUUGCGAUAUACUGCAAGCGGCCAAGCGAAAGCGUUAAGUAUUCCACCUGGGGAGUACGCCGGCAACGGUGAAACUCAAAGGAAUUGACGGGGGCCCGCACAAGCGGAGGAACAUGUGGUUUAAUUCGAUGAUACGCGAGGAACCUUACCCGGGCUUAAAUUGCAGAUGAAUUACGGUGAAAGCCGUAAGCCGCAAGGCAUCUGUGAAGGUGCUGCAUGGUUGUCGUCAGCUCGUGCCGUGAGGUGUCGGCUUAAGUGCCAUAACGAGCGCAACCCUUGUUGUCAGUUACUAACAGGUUCCGCUGAGGACUCUGACAAGACUGCCAUCAUAAGAUGUGAGGAAGGUGGGGAUGACGUCAAAUCAGCACGGCCCUUACGUCCGGGGCUACACACGUGUUACAAUGGGGGGUACAGAGGGCCGCUACCACGCGAGUGGAUGCCAAUCCCCAAAACCUCUCUCAGUUCGGACUGGAGUCUGCAACCCGACUCCACGAAGCUGGAUUCGCUAGUAAUCGCGCAUCAGCCACGGCGCGGUGAAUACGUUCCCGGGCCUUGUACACACCGCCCGUCAAGCCAUGGGAGCCGGGGGUACCUGAAGUGCGUAACCGCGAGGAGCGCCCUAGGGUAAAACU